This 233-nucleotide long non-coding RNA is filed under the name Mytilus galloprovincialis (Mediterranean mussel). The record is from RNAcentral. Lineage: Eukaryota; Metazoa; Mollusca; Bivalvia; Mytilida; Mytilidae.
AGAGAAUUCUAAUUAAAAUUCAUAGAAUGUUUUAAAAUUUACAUAGUGUAGUUUAUGUCAUGCUUUUUUCCAUUGUAAAAUAAAAGUAUGGGUCACCGAACAUUUUCACGAUACAUGUUCUGCAAAAUUAUCAGAUUGAUUGUAGAUUAUGCAUGGCUAAUCGAAUUUUGUGUGAUAAAGAGAAAACGAUACAAUUCAUUUUUUUUUAUAAAAUGUUAGAAAAUAGCUCGUAG